UUCCGGUUGAUCCCGCCGGAGGCCACUGCUAUCGGAGUUCGAUUAAGCCAUGCGAGUCGAGAGGUGCAAGACCUCGGCAUACUGCUCAGUAACACGUGGACAAUCUAACCUAUGGAAGGGGAUAACCCCGGGAAACUGGGGAUAAUACCCUAUAGACUAUGAAUGCUGGAAUGCUUUGUAGUCCAAAGGUCAGCCGCCAUAGGAUGGGUCUGCGGCCGAUUAGGUUGUUGUUGGGGUAACGGCCCAACAAGCCUGUAAUCGGUACGGGUUGUGGGAGCAAGAGCCCGGAGAUGGAUUCUGAGACACGAAUCCAGGCCCUACGGGGCGCAGCAGGCGCGAAAACUUUACAAUGCGGGAAACCGUGAUAGGGGAACUCCGAGUGCCCGUUAAAUCGGGCUG
RNAcentral lists this ribosomal RNA (399 nucleotides) under uncultured Methanomicrobiaceae archaeon. RNAcentral describes it as "bacterial SSU rRNA". It matches the Rfam family "Archaeal small subunit ribosomal RNA", at positions 1 to 409 of the family's 1478-position model. Lineage: Archaea; Methanobacteriati; Methanobacteriota; Methanomicrobia; Methanomicrobiales; Methanomicrobiaceae. The record is from RNAcentral.